UGGGGAAUAUUGGACAAUGGGGGCAACCCUGAUCCAGCAAUGCCGCGUGUGUGAAGAAGGCCUUCGGGUUGUAAAGCACUUUUAUCCGGAACGAAACGCGCAGGGUGAAUAUCCUUGCGAACUGACGGUACCGGAGGAAUAAGCACCGGCUAACUUCGUGCCAGCAGCCGCGGUAAUACGAAGGGUGCAAGCGUUACUCGGAAUUACUGGGCGUAAAGGGUGCGUAGGUGGUUGUUUAAGUCUGUUGUGAAAGCCCCGGGCUCAACCUGGGAAUGGCAAUGGAUACUGGACAGCUAGAGUGCGGUAGAGGGUAGUGGAAUUCCCGGUGUAGCAGUGAAAUGCGUAGAGAUCGGGAGGAACACCAGUGGCGAAGGCGGCUACCUGGACCAGCACUGACACUGAAGCACGAAAGCGUGGGGAGCAAACAG
This 428-nucleotide ribosomal RNA is filed under the name uncultured bacterium. Its description in RNAcentral is "bacterial SSU rRNA". It matches the Rfam family "Bacterial small subunit ribosomal RNA", at positions 355 to 775 of the family's 1533-position model. The record is from RNAcentral.